UUCCAAUGAUGAGCCUGCCAUGCUAAUACUGAUGCACCAGUGUUUGUCUGGGUGUACGUGAGUUAACUUGACUUCUCACACUUGCAGUGUGCUCUGAGGAAA
Small nucleolar RNA from Ctenopharyngodon idella (grass carp), 102 nucleotides. The record is from RefSeq and is a predicted model, not a curated record. Lineage: Eukaryota; Metazoa; Chordata; Actinopteri; Cypriniformes; Xenocyprididae.